This 1461-nucleotide ribosomal RNA is filed under the name uncultured organism. RNAcentral describes it as "16S ribosomal RNA". It matches the Rfam family "Bacterial small subunit ribosomal RNA". The record is from RNAcentral.
ACGCUGGCGGCGUGCUUAACACAUGCAAGUCGAACGGAAAGGCCCUGCUUUUGUGGGGUGCUCGAGUGGCGAACGGGUGAGUAACACGUGAGUAACCUGCCCUUGACUUUGGGAUAACUUCAGGAAACUGGGGCUAAUACCGGAUAGGAGCUCCUGCUGCAUGGUGGGGGUUGGAAAGUUUCGGCGGUUGGGGAUGGACUCGCGGCUUAUCAGCUUGUUGGUGGGGUAGUGGCUUACCAAGGCUUUGACGGGUAGCCGGCCUGAGAGGGUGACCGGCCACAUUGGGACUGAGAUACGGCCCAGACUCCUACGGGAGGCAGCAGUGGGGAAUAUUGCACAAUGGGCGGAAGCCUGAUGCAGCAACGCCGCGUGCGGGAUGACGGCCUUCGGGUUGUAAACCGCUUUCGCCUGUGUCGAAGCGUGAGUGACGGUAAUGGGUAAAGAAGCACCGGCUAACUACGUGCCAGCAGCCGCGGUGAUACGUAGGGUGCGAGCGUUGUCCGGAUUUAUUGGGCGUAAAGGGCUCGUAGGUGGUUGAUCGCGUCGGAAGUGUAAUCUUGGGGCUUAACCCUGAGCGUGCUUUCGAUACGGGUUGGCUUGAGGAAGGUAGGGGAGAAUGGAAUUCCUGGUGGAGCGGUGGAAUGCGCAGAUAUCAGGAGGAACACCAGUGGCGAAGGCGGUUCUUCUGGGCCUUUCCUGACGCUGAGGAGGGAAAGCGUGGGGAGCGAAACAGGCUUAGAUACCGUGGUAGUCCACGCUGUAAACGGUGGGUAUUAGGUGUGGGGGUCCAUUCCACGGGUUCCGUGCCGUAGCUAACGCUUUAAGUACCCCGCCUGGGGAGUACGGCCGCAAGGCUAAAACUCAAAGGAAUUGACGGGGCCCCGCACAAGCGGCGGAGCAUGCGGAUUAAUUCGAUGCAACGCGUAGAACCUUACCUGGGUUUGACAUGGAUCGGGAGUGCUCAGAGAUGGGUGUGCCUCUUUUGGGGUCGGUUCACAGGUGGUGCAUGGCUGUCGUCAGCUCGUGUCGUGAGAUGUUGGGUUAAGUCCCGCAACGAGCGCAACCCUUGUUCACUGUUGCCAGCACGUUAUGGUGGGGACUCAGUGGAGACCGCCGGGGUCAACUCGGAGGAAGGUGGGGAUGACGUCAAGUCAUCAUGCCCCUUAUGUCCAGGGCUUCACGCAUGCUACAAUGGCUGGUACAGAGAGUGGCGAGCCUGUGAGGGUGAGCGAAUCUCGGAAAGCCGGUCUCAGUUCGGAUUGGGGUCUGCAACUCGACCUCAUGAAGUCGGAGUCGCUAGUAAUCGCAGAUCAGCAACGCUGCGGUGAAUACGUUCCCGGGGCUUGCACACACCGCCCGUCAAGUCAUGAAAGUUGGUAACACCCGAAGCCGGUGGCCUAACCGUUGUGGGGGAGCCGUCGAAGGUGGGACUGGUGAUUAGGACUAAGUCAUAACAAGGUA